UGGUUCUGGCAUCGAUGAAGAACGCAGCGAAAUGCGAUAAGUAAUGCGAAUUGCAGAAUUUCCGUGAGUCAUCGAAUCUUUGAACGCACAUUGCGCCCUUUGGCAUUCCGAAGGGCAUGCCUGUUCGAGCGUCAUUAUCCUCUCUCAAACCUCGGGUUUGGUGUUGGACCGCGUUGGACCGCCACCAUGGCCAACUGGUCUCAAAGACAAUGACGGCGUCCUAGGGACCCUCUUCGCACUGAGCUUUCCGGAGCACGCGAAGAGUUUAAUUGGGCCCAUGGACCCGGUCACCUCUCUAUUUUUUUCAGGUUGACCUCGGAUCAGGUAGGAAUACCCGCUGA
Molecule: unclassified non-coding RNA, 341 nt
Filed under: uncultured fungus
Lineage: Eukaryota; Fungi
Description: partial contains 5.8S ribosomal RNA and internal transcribed spacer 2
Rfam family: 5.8S ribosomal RNA (bases 1-134)
Source: RNAcentral